GCAACAGCCGCACACCUGCACUUCAGCAACCUGUUAGGCUCCAGGAUCAGCAGAGUUAGCACAAUAAACUGGGAGGAGCUGCAUCUCCCCUUCGUCAGCAACGAGGGACUCGAUAACCCGUUCACUGAGGCCGAGGUUUGGGCAGCGAUUAUGUCCUCACCGGCAGAAAAAGCACCGGGCCCUGAUGGCUUUUCAGGGAUGUUCUUUAGAUCAUGCUGGAGCCUGAUCAAAAGCGAUAUAAUGGCCGUGUUCCACCACUUCUACCAUGUAGCGGACGGCAGUUUCGCGGACCUCAACACGGCCAUGAUCGCCCUCAUCCCAAAGAAAGACGGCGCUGCCAGCAUGGGGAUUUCCGGCCUAUAA
RNAcentral lists this ribosomal RNA (363 nucleotides) under Triticum aestivum (bread wheat). Its description in RNAcentral is "partial small subunit ribosomal RNA". The record is from RNAcentral. Lineage: Eukaryota; Viridiplantae; Streptophyta; Magnoliopsida; Poales; Poaceae.